AGUGAACGCUGGCGGUAGGCCUAACACAUGCAAGUCGAACGGCAGCACAGUAAGAGCUUGCUCUUACGGGUGGCGAGUGGCGGACGAGUGAGGAAUACAUCGGAAUCUACUUUUUCGUGGGGGAUAACGUAGGGAAACUUACGCUAAUACCGCAUACGACCUACGGGUGAAAGCAGGGGAUAUUCGGACCUUGCGCGAUUGAAUGAGCCGAUGUCGGAUUAGCUAGUUGGCGGGGUAAAGGCCCACCAAGGCGACGAUCCGUAGCUGGUCUGAGAGGAUGAUCAGCCACACUGGAACUGAGACACGGUCCAGACUCCUACAGGAGGCAGCAGUGGGGAAUAUUGGACAAUGGGCGCAAGCCUGAUCCAGCCAUACCGCGUGGGUGAAGAAGGCCUUCGGGUUGUAAAGCCCUUUUGUUGGGAAAGAAAAGCAGCAGGUUAAUACCCCGCUGUUCUGACGGUACCCAAAGAAUAAGCACCGGCUAACUUCGUG
RNAcentral lists this ribosomal RNA (492 nucleotides) under uncultured bacterium. RNAcentral's name for it is "partial 16S ribosomal RNA". It matches the Rfam family "Bacterial small subunit ribosomal RNA", at positions 29 to 507 of the family's 1533-position model. The record is from RNAcentral.